Molecule: long non-coding RNA, 1076 nt
Organism: Bos taurus (domestic cattle)
Lineage: Eukaryota; Metazoa; Chordata; Mammalia; Artiodactyla; Bovidae
Source: Ensembl
CUCCCGCUGUCACUGACAGACUCGCGCCCGCGCCGCCCCUCGCCCCGCCGCAGCGCGCACGCGCGGCCCGCGCACGCCGCCGCCAGAUCCGGGGCACGCGCACGGUGCGCGCGCCGGGACGACAGGGCUGCGGGACAGAGGCGGGCCGUGUGCUGAGGCCCCGCCCUCCGCCCUGCGCCCGGGGCCGCGCCGCGCCCUGACCGCGGGCUGCGCGCGAUGCGGGGAUUACGGACGCCGCUGAGAGACCGCCGUUCCUCGCAGGUCGGCCCCCAGACCCGCUCGGGGAAACCUGAGGGCAUCUACUAGUUAAGGAGCUGCUGAGCCAUGAGCAAGUGUCACCCGAGACUCGAGACCUGAGCGUGUUUGUGGCGACCAUCGCGGUGCAGUCCGAGCCCCAGCCUCUGCUGGCCAGACAGAGCCUCAAGGAGGCCGUGGUUGACCCUGGAAAGCUGGUGCCACUGAGACGCAGCUUCUGCAGCCCCAGGGAGGGUUUCCCUUCCCGUCCUUGGGUCGUCUUCCCCUCCUCCUGGACAACUGUUUUUCCGUUUCCACAGAGGAAGUUUUCAAAGCAAAAGUGACCUGGUGAGUGCUGUCUGCAAGGUGAAAUACAGCCCUCUGCUUCCCAGGGCACCAGUCCUGACUUUGUCAUCCACACACCUCACAGUACCUCCUGCCAGUCACCAGGGUCUGCGACCACUUUGCCUCACCAGGUUUCACUGCUAAAUUAGAAAAUAAAGUAAAAUGCCGUUUGUCUGCAUGGUGGAAUAUUAUUUGGCCGUGAAAAGGGGGUGGUGGGCUGAUUCACUGCUGUAACCUGGGUAAAUCUUGAAAACAUGAUGCUAAGUGAAAAAAGCCCAUCAGUAAAGACUUCAUAUUGUACAAUUCCAGUGUAUGAGAUGUCCAGAAUAGGCAAAUCCAAAGAGACAGAAAGCAGAUUAGUGAUUGUUGGGGAUUGGUGGUGAUGAGAAUGUUCCGGAACUACAUGGAGGUGGCAGUCACACAAUACUGUGAAAGUACUCAAUGCCACUGAAUUGUACACUUUGAAAUGGUUCAAACGGUAGAUUUUAUCUUAUGUG